UGAGGAAUAUUGGUCAAUGGGCGGAAGCCUGAACCAGCCAAGUCGCGUGAGGGAAGACGGUCCUAUGGAUUGUAAACCUCUUUUGCAGGGGAGCAAGGCACGGUACGUGUACCGUGAAGGAGAGUACCCUGAGAAAAGCAUCGGCUAACUCCGUGCCAGCAGCCGCGUAUCGAUACU
Molecule: ribosomal RNA, 177 nt
Filed under: uncultured bacterium
Lineage: Bacteria
Description: partial 16S ribosomal RNA
Rfam family: Bacterial small subunit ribosomal RNA
Source: RNAcentral